Molecule: long non-coding RNA, 371 nt
Filed under: Ananas comosus (pineapple)
Lineage: Eukaryota; Viridiplantae; Streptophyta; Magnoliopsida; Poales; Bromeliaceae
Description: long non-coding RNA (ACOM_LNC017211)
Source: RNAcentral
AAUUUGAGAAAAUGACAUGCUUUGAUCCUCAAACUAAAAGAUGGUGGAUACUUUGGUCCUUAAACUUUAAUUUGUUAUAAUUUCUAGCUCGAAUUUUUAGAAUUAUUGCAAUCAGGUCAUACAACCUAAUUUAGUUGACUAAAUAUUAACGUAUCAUUGAUGUAAAUGUAAUAUAGAAUCUUAAUUAUUAUUACAUCAUCUAUCAAAAUACUAUAACAUCACUUCUACAUUAAUAAUUUAUUAAUAUCUAGCCAAUUAAAUUAGAUUGCAGUGCUUGAUUGUAAUAAUUUUAAAAAUUUAAGCAUAAAUUACAACAAAUUAAAGUUUGGAAAUUGAAGUAGCAAUUUAUCCCUUUUUUUUUGUAUUGGGUG